RNAcentral lists this long non-coding RNA (750 nucleotides) under Coffea arabica (coffee). Its description in RNAcentral is "long non-coding RNA (CARA_LNC002671)". Lineage: Eukaryota; Viridiplantae; Streptophyta; Magnoliopsida; Gentianales; Rubiaceae. The record is from RNAcentral.
CCGCACAUCCCUUUUUCCCCUCACUCUCUUUUCUCUUUUGCUCUACCUCCCGCCUCCGCCAUUGGUGACCAGUCCAUCUCCAGCUCUCUGACUCUCUUUUCUUUGGUCAGCUCUCCAUCUCCAUCUCUCCAUGACUCUAUCUCCAUCUCCAGCUCUCUGACUCUCUCCAUCACCACCUUCAAAGAACCCCAGCUCCAAAGAAACCGUCGGAUCUGGCUAGCUAAUGAGAAAAGAGAUCUUGGAAUUUCUUGAGGUGUUGACUUUAGCUACUAUUUGGGUGCUUGCUUUCCAUGAUUGGUGUUGUUGAAUUUGUAUUACAUUAAUGCUUUGCUUCGGCUUUUUUGCUUCGGCUUUUACCUUUUCCUACUUGAGGUACUAGAUUUCAAUCAUGUCUGGCCCAUGAUGAAUGAUGUGGGAAAAUAUGAUGCCCGUUCCUUUGUUUGAUUGAACAAACAAAAAAAAGGACCGACUGGUUAUAUGAGGCUGUGAUGAUUUUUUUUUAUUAUCAAUACGAAACUAAAUAAAAAUCAAGAUUUUGAGCUUUUCCGUAGCUUGGCUUGGUGAACUCUGGAGGGUCUGUGAAGGGUAUACAGAGGGCUCAAAAGGAAAAUUGGGCACUUUUGGUUCAUUUUUCCUUUUGGGUUCUUUAUCUGAUUUCUCUCAUGUGGCAACUGUUGUUUGUAGCCAUGGCGGUUUUAGCCUAUCUUGAUGUCAGACUCCAAUCUGAGCCUCCACUUUUCGCUCUUCAAG